CAUCGUUACGAAACAUUAGAGAUAAUGAGGAAAAGGACUCUGCCUUCAGAGGCAUCUGUGUGAUGAUUGGUGUGAAUCCUGGCGGUGUGGUCCAGGACUUCAUCUUCUUCUGUGAUGCGGUGGCCUCCUGGGUCAACCCUAAAGAUGACCUGAGGGACAUGUUCUACAAGAUCCUACAUGGUUUUAAGGACCAGGUCGGUGAGGAGAACUGGCAGCAGUUCUCAGAGCAGUUCCCGCCCAUCCUAAAGGAACGCCUCUCUGCAUGCUAUGGCGUGUAGCCCCGCCCCUCUGCUUCACACACAGCACAUGCUGUCAGGUUAGUGAUGACUGCUGAUGUCUUGUGAUGUUAUAAUGUGCUGGGACAGAGAAUAACUGUCCUAGGUGUUUUUGUUGCUGCUAGGUGUUUCUACUCAACUGUAGUAU
Long non-coding RNA from Sinocyclocheilus rhinocerous, 423 nucleotides. RefSeq lists it as uncharacterized. The record is from RefSeq and is a predicted model, not a curated record. NCBI's taxonomy places the organism in Eukaryota, Metazoa, Chordata, Actinopteri, Cypriniformes, Cyprinidae. The transcript has 3 exons.